AUUCUAAUAGCUUAUUUAGAGCAUAAUAUUGAAGAUAUUAAGGAAAUUUUUAUUUUAGGAUA
This 62-nucleotide transfer RNA is filed under the name Pyrocoelia praetexta. RNAcentral's name for it is "tRNA-Phe". Lineage: Eukaryota; Metazoa; Arthropoda; Insecta; Coleoptera; Lampyridae. The record is from RNAcentral.